GAGAAUGAAGAUUCCGGGAGGCAGAAUGCGUGUGUGAUUAAAAUUGGUUUUCACUACCAAAAAUAUAUAAAUUCACAAAUCUCAAAUACCCACACACAGAAUCAUAAUUUUGAGGCCUCCAUUUUUUCUUCCUUUUGCUCCAAAUUUCAACGGAAUUUUGAAUGUUCCAGCCUCCAAAAUCCUAACUCACAUCAUAAUUCCCUUUCCAGUUGGCCUUGAGCGUGAGCCUUCUUUCUGCUGCUUUUGAUGGGUGCUCCGAAGCAAAAAUGGACUAGUGAAGAAGAAGCAGCUCUGAAGGCUGGAGUUGUUAAGCAUGGAGCAGGAAAGUGGCGGACGAUACUUAAGGAUCCUGAAUUCAGCAGUGUACUGUAUCUUCGUUCAAAUGUUGAUCUCAAGGACAAGUGGAGAAAUAUGAGUGUCAUGGCUAAUGGCUGGGGAUCUCGAGAGAAGGCCAGGUUGGCACUUAAGAGAUUACAUGCUCCUAGAAAAGACGAGAACGCUGUGGGUCCAAGUGUUGCUGCCCAAAGUGAAGACGAAUUGGCAGAAGCUAAGUCUGUUUCCCUUUCCUCAGAUAUCAAGCAGAUAACUGGUCCAAAGCGAUCUAAUGUAAGAAAGGAAGAGGAGGAGGAAGAAGAAGAAGAAGAAGAAAAAGAAGUAGAAAGAAUAGAAAGGGAUGCAAGAUAUGAUUGCCAUAGGUGGGAAAAAAGGCUGGACAAUCUUAUAAUUGAGGCAAUUACUACCCUGAGGGAACCUGGUGGCUCUAAUAAGACAAAGAUUACCUCGUAUAUAGAGGAUCAAUACUGGGCACCUCCAGACUUCAAGAGGUUGUUAUCAUCAAAAUUGAAGUUCUUAACAGCUAGCCGUAAACUGGUCAAGUUGAGUUUCUUUUUGUCCAGGUUAAACGAAAAUAUAGGCUUCCUUCUGUGGCUGCUUCAGAGAGAAGGAGCUCUAUGUUAUUGUUGGAAGACCAGCAAAAAGCUAGUGUAAGAGCUGACAAGGAUGAUAUGUGUAUUCUUGCGAAAGCUCAAAUCGAUCUCGAAUUAGCCAAGAUGAGGACCAUGACUUCCCAAGAGGCAGCGGCAGCUGCUGCUCGAGCAGUUGCAGAAGCAGAAGCAGCAAUUGCAGAAGCUGAAGAGGCAGCUAGGGAAGCCGAGGCAGCUGAGGCUGAUGCAGAAGCAGCCCAAUCAUUUGCAGAAGCCGCAAUGAAGACACUGAAAGGAAGAAAUCUCCCGAAGAUGAUGAUCCGGGUUUGAUGGAAAGCCAAAACUGAUUAUAAAGAGUUGUGGAGCUGUUGAUCAAAGGGAUGGACAUGUUUUGGGCUUGCUAUGGAUGAUUAGCCAUUAUAACCAACCUCUCUCCCACUCUUUUUUGGGCAAGUCGAGGAACAGGGUCAUAUCCGUAGAGAAGAGUUAGGAAAAUUAUGUGGGUUUGGUUAAUUAGUUAGUUGUAGUUCAAUGUAAAAAUUUUAAUUGGUUGUAGUGCAGGUAAAUCUGUGGGCUUUUUAUAUAUGCUCUCUCUCUCUCUCUCUCUCUCUCUCUUAUAGUGAAUUAUUAUUGCCAUUGUUUAUUUCUAUUAGUCUGAAAGUUUGGAGUUGGUAUUAAUUUAAACAAUGAAAAAGGAUGAGGAAAUAAAUGGAAUGGGUUUUAACAAAAA
Cucumis sativus (cucumber) is the source of this 1653-nucleotide RNA transcript. It is a transcript of the gene named telomere repeat-binding factor 1, with no coding region annotated. The record is from RefSeq and is a predicted model, not a curated record. NCBI's taxonomy places the organism in Eukaryota, Viridiplantae, Streptophyta, Magnoliopsida, Cucurbitales, Cucurbitaceae. The transcript has 8 exons.